GAUGAACGCUAGCUACAGGCUUAACACAUGCAAGUCGAGGGGCAGCAUGGUCUUAGCUUGCUAAGGCCGAUGGCGACCGGCGCACGGGUGAGUAACACGUAUCCAACCUGCCGUCUACUCUUGGACAGCCUUCUGAAAGGACGAUUAAUACAAGAUGGCAUCAUGAGUCCGCAUGUUCACAUGAUUAAAGGUAUUCCGGUAGACGAUGGGGAUGCGUUCCAUUAGAUAGUAGGCGGGGUAACGGCCCACCUAGUCUUCGAUGGAUAGGGGUUCUGAGAGGAAGGUACCCCACAUUGGAACCGAGACACGGUCCAAACUCCUACGGGAGGCAGCAGUGAGGAAUAUUGGUCAAUGGGCGAGAGCCUGAACCAGCCAAGUAGCGUGAAGGACGACUGCCCUAUGGGUUGUAAACUUCUUUUAUAAAGGAAUAAAGUCGGGUAUGGAUACCCGUUUGCAUGUACUUUAUGAAUAAGGAUCGGCUAACUCCGUG
This 490-nucleotide ribosomal RNA is filed under the name uncultured bacterium. Its description in RNAcentral is "partial 16S ribosomal RNA". It matches the Rfam family "Bacterial small subunit ribosomal RNA", at positions 28 to 507 of the family's 1533-position model. The record is from RNAcentral.